CAUUAAAAAGAAAAGGUAAUACACAUGAUAUUGCUGUGACAGAAAUUCAAAAUAGAGGUGAUCAGCCUUAGAAAUUUAACACUAAGAAUACAAUGAUCGCCAUUUCAGAAGGUUACAAAGUAGAUACAUUCAACAAAAGCCACAUCUGCCACGAGUGAACACCUUGGGCCUGUGUUUGACAUAUGCCACAAAUUACAAUGAACAUCUGCCUUAUUCCAGCUUUAUUCAAAAAUGCAAAUGAAGGAUGACUUCAAUUUUCUUCAUCAAUUGUCACUCUUGACAUUUGCGCUAUCAUGAAGAAUACAUUGUUGGUGAAAGUGAGAAUGAUAGGAAAGAAGCACCUUGUUAAUUUUAAGAAACAAGGAUGAUCACAAGAACAUAAAGAUUAAUAUAUAACUUCUUAAACUGACCUUGAAAGGAGCUUCUUUGUGUCCCUUAACAAUCAUGCUACAGUCAUAUUUCACCGAAACUGUGGAAACGGAUUCAACAUCUUUGGACAGUCAACUAUAUCAACUUCAUUCAAGGACGGACAUCUCAAAACUUCACUUCCAGAAUAAAAACUGGUUAAACUAGGCAAACUCUCAAGAUUGAUGGUGUGUAAUGAAGGGAAUAUGGUCUUAUCCCACUCUCCUUCAUCUUCCUUUUCCCCUUCUUUGUUGAUGAUCUGCUCCAACAAAAUGCAUCCCUCUACUUCCAUAUGCUCUAGUCGCACAAGCCCCAAAGCCAUUGGAAGAGUUAAUAUAUUUGUCAAGCUGCUACAGUUAUAAACCUUCAGUAGUUUUAGGUUUUCAAAACUCAAAAUUCCUUGAGGAUCCUUGUUCCAUAUAUGCCUCAACUGAGGUAGAUCAAUUAAAUGCAAUUCCUGUAACCAUGGCAUAAGCUGAACAUGCCCUUCAUCUGCACUCAUACCUUCCAAAUCAAAUAUUUCUUCCAGUGAAUCACAUUGUUCUACAAUCAGCACCUUCAAGCUUUCCAAGAACGGCAUUUGAUUUGAUGACAAGGCUUUUGACAAAAAUUCACACUUGUCCACUGUCAAUUUGCUAAUAUGGGCUACAAAUUUUAACGGAGUUUGGCUCUGCCAUUUUUCCUUUAGAAGGGGAAAUUUAGAGAGUUUCAUAUUCCAAUUGUGGUAAAAUCCUUCCAUUUCCAAAUAGGACUUCUGUACGGUGGCAUUAAGGUUGCCCUCCCAACGCCAACUCUGAAAACGCACUUCAUGCAGAUGUACGCACUGCAGCUUUGGUGUGCUUAAGACUCCAUCAGAAAAGGUCCUCAUAUUGGGGCAUCCACUCACGGUUACUACUUCCAAACAUGGGAAUUUGAAGGUUAAACUACCCAAGCAGAAUCCUUCAAGGCUUUUUAAAUGAAUGAGUUCCAAAGUUUU
This 1381-nucleotide unclassified non-coding RNA is filed under the name Hevea brasiliensis (rubber tree). Lineage: Eukaryota; Viridiplantae; Streptophyta; Magnoliopsida; Malpighiales; Euphorbiaceae. The record is from RNAcentral.